RNAcentral lists this ribosomal RNA (465 nucleotides) under Vreelandella stevensii. RNAcentral describes it as "partial 16S ribosomal RNA". It matches the Rfam family "Bacterial small subunit ribosomal RNA", at positions 338 to 795 of the family's 1533-position model. Lineage: Bacteria; Pseudomonadati; Pseudomonadota; Gammaproteobacteria; Oceanospirillales; Halomonadaceae. The record is from RNAcentral.
CCUACGGGGCGCAGCAGUGGGGAAUAUUGGACAAUGGGCGAAAGCCUGAUCCAGCCAUGCCGCGUGUGUGAAGAAGGCCUUCGGGUUGUAAAGCACUUUCAGUGGGGAAGAAAGCCUUGGGGCUAAUACCCUCGAGGAAGGACAUUACCCACAGAAGAAGCACCGGCUAACUCCGUGCCAGCAGCCGCGGUAAUACGGAGGGUGCGAGCGUUAAUCGGAAUUACUGGGCGUAAAGCGCGCGUAGGCGGUCUGAUAAGCCGGUUGUGAAAGCCCCGGGCUCAACCUGGGAACGGCAUCCGGAACUGUCAGGCUAGAGUGCAGUAGAGGAAGGUAGAAUUCCCGGUGUAGCGGUGAAAUGCGUAGAGAUCGGUAGGAAUACCAGUGGCGAAGGCGGCCUUCUGGACUGACACUGACGCUGAGGUGCGAAAGCGUGGGUAGCAAACAGGAUUAGAUACCCCAGUAGUC